CAAGUCGCACGAGAAAGUGGAGCAAUCCAUGAGUAAAGUGGCGCACGGGUGAGUAACACGUGAAUGAUCUACCUCCGAGUGGGGAAUAACCUAGAGAAAUCUGGGCUAAUACCGCAUAACACUUACGAGUCAAAGCAGCAAUGCGCUUGGAGAGGAGUUCGCGGCCGAUUAGUUAGUUGGCGGGGUAAUGGCCCACCAAGACGAUGAUCGGUAUCCGGCCUGAGAGGGCGCACGGACACACUGGAACUGAAACACGGUCCAGACUCCUACGGGAGGCAGCAGUGGGGAAUUUUGCGCAAUGGGGGAAACCCUGACGCAGCAACGCCGCGUGGAGGAUGAAAUCCCUUGGGAUGUAAACUCCUUUCGAUCGGGACGAUUAUGACGGUACCGGAAGAAGAAGCCCCGGCUAACUUCGUGCCAGCAGCCGCGGUAAUACGAGGGGGGCAAGCGUUGUUCGGAAUUAUUGGGCGUAAAGGGCGCGUAGGCGGUUUGACAAGUCUGAUGUGAAAUCUCUGGGCUCAACUC
This 525-nucleotide ribosomal RNA is filed under the name uncultured bacterium. RNAcentral describes it as "bacterial SSU rRNA". It matches the Rfam family "Bacterial small subunit ribosomal RNA", at positions 58 to 615 of the family's 1533-position model. The record is from RNAcentral.